GUUGUAACUUAGUUCGAUUUAUAGUCGGGUGAAGAUUCUCGAUUUUGGUUGGAAUAACAACGCAUUAAGUGUUAGUCGUAUCAUUUAGAGUAAACCUGCUCGUAUAUAUAUAUAAGAGGAUGAAACCCGUGAACGUUUCGUCCGUUCGCUGAAACAUAUGACAAACCGAAACUAGGGCACAUAAGGCCAACCGAUUAACUGAUUAACGAAGACGCAAAAUUGAUCCAGAUCGAAGUCAUGAGUCAAGACGUACAAGAAUUCCAUGGUAUGAACUUUUUUAAAGACUGCUUGAGAGGGUAGCUCAGAUUACCUUCCAAACCAGAGGAAUAAAACAGUCGAAUUCAUGGAAUGAUUUACCACGAUGAUUAAAGGCAGAAAUCUGGUACGAGAGAUGAUAUAAAAACUGACGGUGGACUUUUGUUGAUGAGGAAAGGGUACCGGCGGUUUACACUCAACACAAACGCUGUGAUUUUGAAAAGGACAGUGAUUGUGUUACAUU
Long non-coding RNA from Dreissena polymorpha, 499 nucleotides. RefSeq lists it as uncharacterized. NCBI's taxonomy places the organism in Eukaryota, Metazoa, Mollusca, Bivalvia, Myida, Dreissenidae. The record is from RefSeq and is a predicted model, not a curated record. The transcript has 3 exons.